AUUGAACGCUGGCGGCAGGCCUAACACAUGCAAGUCGAGCGGAUGAAGGGAGCUUGCUCCUGGAUUCAGCGGCGGACGGGUGAGUAAUGCCUAGGAAUCUGCCUGGUAGUGGGGGAUAACGUCCGGAAACGGGCGCUAAUACCGCAUACGUCCUGAGGGAGAAAGUGGGGGAUCUUCGGACCUCACGCUAUCAGAUGAGCCUAGGUCGGAUUAGCUAGUUGGUGGGGUAAAGGCCUACCAAGGCGACGAUCCGUAACUGGUCCGAGAGGAUGAUCAGUCACACUGGAACUGAGACACGGUCCAGACUCCUACGGGAGGCAGCAGUGGGGAAUAUUGGACAAUGGGCAAAAGCCUGAUCCAGCCAUGCCGCGUGUGUGAAGAAGGUCUUCGGAUUGUAAAGCACUUUAAGUUGGGAGGAAGGGCAGUAAGUUAAUACCUUGCUGUUUUGACGUUACCAACAGAAUAAGCACCGGCUAACUUCGUG
This 484-nucleotide ribosomal RNA is filed under the name uncultured bacterium. Its description in RNAcentral is "partial 16S ribosomal RNA". It matches the Rfam family "Bacterial small subunit ribosomal RNA", at positions 30 to 507 of the family's 1533-position model. The record is from RNAcentral.